ACCAACUCAGCUGGCUACUUCACCAGGGAAUGGCGAACAAAAAAAACGUCUGGAGAAAUCAACAAACACUGAGUGCUAAAUAAUGUUGUCGGGGAUGAAAGAGAAAUGUGCCAACUGCUUUGGGGAGAACCAAAUAAUGCUCCACAUUUAGGGCUUACUGCUUUCGAACCACUGUUGAUAUUCCUUUAAAAUGAAAUCGAU
Molecule: long non-coding RNA, 201 nt
Filed under: Lathyrus oleraceus (garden pea)
Lineage: Eukaryota; Viridiplantae; Streptophyta; Magnoliopsida; Fabales; Fabaceae
Description: Pisum sativum (pea) long non-coding RNA (PSAT_LNC001093)
Source: RNAcentral